Molecule: ribosomal RNA, 253 nt
Filed under: uncultured bacterium
Lineage: Bacteria
Description: partial 16S ribosomal RNA
Rfam family: Bacterial small subunit ribosomal RNA
Source: RNAcentral
GACAGAGGGGGCAAGCGUUGCUCGGAAUUACUGGGCGUCAAGGGCGCGUAGGCGGGAUGGCAAGUCGGUCGUGAAAUCCCUCGGCUCAACCGAGGAACGUCGAUCGAUACUGCUGUUCUUGAGGAUUGCAGAGGAGACUGGAAUUCCCGGUGUAGCGGUGAAAUGUGUAGAGAUCGGGAGGAACACCGAUGGCGAAGGCGGGUCUCUGGAACGUCCCUGACGUUGAGGCGCGAAAGCGUGGGGAGCAAACAGG